This 24-nucleotide unclassified non-coding RNA is filed under the name Mus musculus (house mouse). RNAcentral's name for it is "oocyte_clustered_small_RNA4897". Lineage: Eukaryota; Metazoa; Chordata; Mammalia; Rodentia; Muridae. The record is from RNAcentral.
UCCAGGCUGAGGUGCUGCCCAAUA